ACAUGGGAGUCCAGCGACAUAGCUAUUAUGCCAACUGCUGGUCCCCAGGAGUGAUUUUCAUGUAUUGGUCUUCUGUCCUGGAGCCUUGCUGAACUCACUCACUAGUUCCGACAGUUUUUAGUGGUGGUCUUGGGAUUUCCUAUGGAAAAGCUCUUGUACUGCUGUAGAGUUUUACUUCUUUUGUUCAAACAUGAACGCUUAUUUUGUCUUCUUGCCUAAUUGCAGGCUCCCUCUCUUUUCAUAGAUAGGGCUCAAAGAAGAGCAGUGGCUGGGCGGGCUGCCCCUGGGGGACUGGCAGUUGGCACUGGCCCAUUGCCCCAUCCGUGGCCUCCCCUGGCAUCCUGAGGUUCAACAUGCCAGAAGCCCUCCCUGACUGGAAUGCAUAGUGACUGUUUCUUGGAAACGCUGGGAGAAUUCAGAAGACAAAGAUGAGUGGAUGAAGAAAACACCAUUUUCCUGCCCAUGCAUUGAUGAUGUCACCGUGUUUACUGUCCUCCAUUUUGUUCCAAAGUGGUUUGGCUCCAUUGGGUCAUAAAGAGCCGCACCUGAGAAUGCAAGAGCACCCUUCCUUGGCCACUGUCUGGCACCUGCCCAAAGCCAGGCUGGUACUUGCCACCCCAUGCUCUGCCUCCUUGCCACAUCUGCUGCCCCUCAGGCUUCUCCCGGCACCUUCCCCAGCAGGCCCACUUCCCUCCUCAUGCUCCCCUCCCUGUCCCAUCCAGUGUCUUCCUCCUGCAUCAGCUUCCCUCUCCCUGAAACCCGCAGACCCUGCAGCCUUGCCUGCCCUCAGCCCUGCCAGCAGCUCCUGGCUGGCUAGGCCCAUUCUCCACUGCCCCCUUCAGAAGUCCGCCCUCCUCACACUGCCCUCUGUGACUCCCGCUGUUCCGCCUCCCUCUCUGCUGGGGCCACAGGCCUCCACCUCGGGUGGGCGGCCAAGGUCCCAGUGACCUGCAGGCCCUAGCCCCGAAGCCGCCCUCUGGGGAGGGAGCUCUGCCUUCCUCAGGCUCCUGGAUGCUCCCUGGUUUCUUGCUCUGGUCAACCAGACCCCGCACCAGGGCUCCUCCGGGGCACAGCUCCCAGCCCUGUACACACCGGCCUGGGGGGACCUCACCCAUGUUCGGCAUCUCCUGUGCGCUUCUGUCCACAGCUCUUGGGCCCUGGGCUCUCCACCCACAUGCCUACUCCUCAGCCCGCCCUGCACACCUUGUCUCUUCCCUCAUGCGUCAGAAUCCAAGCACAUCUGGCCCACGCCCGCAGCGCCUGGGCUCCCCUUACUGCUGAGCCUCCUGGGAGCCCCAGCAGCCAGAGCGAGCCCAGGGUCUGCGGAGCACCCAUCACGUGAGCCUCCUUGCUUUGCCCAGAGCGUACCCCGGCCCUGUGCCUCCCCACUGGCUGUCCCACUGCUUGGAUACUCCUCCCUAGGCCUCAGGGGACUGACGCCGUCUUGGCAGUGAGGCUGGUAACGCCGCCCAGUGGUACAGCACCUGCCCCUGUGCACGCUGCCCCCACGCACCCCACCUCUGGGCAGUGUGUUGCCAGCUCUAGUCAAGGGGCCUGCGGCUCGUGCCUGGCAGGGGUGGGUGGCGGGGAGGAGAGGACCUCCAGCAGCCUGGGUGCCGUGGUUGUCCAAGUGCUGUAGGCUCCGGGACCAACUCGCUGGUGGGGCAGCUGGGCAGGGGUGGCAGAUUUGGAGAGCACAGACCCUGUCGUGGGGGACGGGAUGGGGGAGUUGUUGCCUGAGGGCUUUUGUUGUUCCUUUUUAAUUUGCUAGAGGGCAUGGGCGCUUGCCAGAGAAAGAGCUAAGCCACUCCCGGGCGACGGCCACUCUGCAUGGCCCUCAGGUCCUUGGUUCAGCAUCUGCUGUGCUUCUCUAGCUGCUUGGUUCGGGAGCCGGCCCGCGCUGUCAGCCAGGGGAGAUCAGCCAUCUUAAUCACUGUGCUACCGGCUGGCCUCCCCGGUCGGCUUAU
Long non-coding RNA from Tupaia belangeri chinensis (Chinese tree shrew), 1967 nucleotides. RefSeq lists it as uncharacterized. Lineage: Eukaryota; Metazoa; Chordata; Mammalia; Scandentia; Tupaiidae. The record is from RefSeq and is a predicted model, not a curated record. The transcript is spliced from 2 exons.